RNAcentral lists this ribosomal RNA (141 nucleotides) under Pseudomonas fluorescens. Its description in RNAcentral is "partial 16S ribosomal RNA". It matches the Rfam family "Bacterial small subunit ribosomal RNA", at positions 613 to 753 of the family's 1533-position model. The record is from RNAcentral. Lineage: Bacteria; Pseudomonadati; Pseudomonadota; Gammaproteobacteria; Pseudomonadales; Pseudomonadaceae.
CCUGGGAACUGCAUCCAAAACUGGCAAGCUAGAUUAUGGUAGAGGGUGGUGGAAUUUCCUGUGUAGCGGUGAAAUGCGUAAAUAUAGGAAGGAACACCAGUGGCGAAGGCGACCUCCUGGACUGAUACUGACACUGAGGUG